Cynoglossus semilaevis (tongue sole) is the source of this 198-nucleotide small nuclear RNA. RefSeq annotates it as U2 spliceosomal RNA. Lineage: Eukaryota; Metazoa; Chordata; Actinopteri; Pleuronectiformes; Cynoglossidae. The record is from RefSeq and is a predicted model, not a curated record. The transcript has a single exon.
AUCACUUCUCAGCCUUUUGGCUGAGAUCAAGUGUAGUCAUUAACUAGUCUCUAUUAGUUUUUCUUUUGAGAUGUGGCCAAUGGUGUCCCAUUAUAACUAUCAUACCGUCUUUAGGAGCAUCAACUAGUCAUUUGGCUCUGUAGUGCCUUAGUGCCACCGACCUUUAUCAGUCAAGUGGCAGGAAUGACUAGACUCAUU